This 253-nucleotide ribosomal RNA is filed under the name uncultured bacterium. Its description in RNAcentral is "partial 16S ribosomal RNA". It matches the Rfam family "Bacterial small subunit ribosomal RNA", at positions 524 to 776 of the family's 1533-position model. The record is from RNAcentral.
UACAGAGGGGGCAAGCGUUGUUCGGAAUUACUGGGCGUAAAGGGCGCGUAGGCGGCCAACUAAGUCAGACGUGAAAUCCCCAGGCUCAACCUGGGAACUGCGUCUGAUACUGGAUGGCUUGAAUCCGGGAGAGGGAUGCAGAAUUCCAGGUGUAGCGGUGAAAUGCGUAGAUAUCUGGAGGAAUACCGGUGGCGAAGGCGGCAUCCUGGACCGGCAUUGACGCUGAGGAGCGAAAGCUAGGGGAGCAAACGGG